This 481-nucleotide ribosomal RNA is filed under the name uncultured bacterium. Its description in RNAcentral is "partial 16S ribosomal RNA". It matches the Rfam family "Bacterial small subunit ribosomal RNA", at positions 28 to 507 of the family's 1533-position model. The record is from RNAcentral.
GAUGAACGCUGGCGGCGUGCUUAACACAUGCAAGUCGAACGAAACACCUUAUUUGAUUUUCUUCGGAACUGAAGAUUUGGUGAUUGAGUGGCGGACGGGUGAGUAACGCGUGGGUAACCUGCCCUGUACAGGGGGAUAACAGUCAGAAAUGACUGCUAAUACCGCAUAAGACCACAGCACCGCAUGGUGCAGGGGUAAAAACUCCGGUGGUACAGGAUGGACCCGCGUCUGAUUAGCUGGUUGGUGAGGUAACGGCUCACCAAGGCGACGAUCAGUAGCCGGCUUGAGAGAGUGAACGGCCACAUUGGGAAUGAGACACGGCCCAAACUCCUACGGGAGGCAGCAGUGGGGAAUAUUGCACAAUGGGGGAAACCCUGAUGCAGCGACGCCGCGUGAGUGAAGAAGUAUUUCGGUAUGUAAAGCUCUAUCAGCAGGGAAGAAAAUGACGGUACCUGACUAAGAAGCCCCGGCUAACUACGUG